This 403-nucleotide ribosomal RNA is filed under the name uncultured bacterium. RNAcentral describes it as "bacterial SSU rRNA". It matches the Rfam family "Bacterial small subunit ribosomal RNA", at positions 28 to 430 of the family's 1533-position model. The record is from RNAcentral.
GAUGAACGCUAGCGGCAGGCCUAACACAUGCAAGUCGAGGGGCAGCACGUCUUCGGAUGGUGGCGACCGGCGCACGGGUGCGUAACGCGUAUGCAACCUACCUCUUACAGUGGGAUAGCCCAGAGAAAUUUGGAUUAAUACCGCAUAGUAUACAGAUUCAGCAUUGGGACUGUAUUAAACAUUUAUGGGUAAGAGAUGGGCAUGCGUUCUAUUAGUUAGUUGGAGUGGUAACGGCACCCCAAGACAGCGAUAGAUAGGGGCCCUGAGAGGGGGAUCCCCCGACACUGGUACUGAGACACGGACCAGACUCCUACGGGAGCAGCAGUGAGGAAUAUUGGACAAUGGGCGAGAGCCUGAUCCAGCCAUGCCGCGUGCAGGAAGACGGCCCUAUGGGUUAGUAAAC